Molecule: ribosomal RNA, 420 nt
Filed under: uncultured bacterium
Lineage: Bacteria
Description: bacterial SSU rRNA
Rfam family: Bacterial small subunit ribosomal RNA
Source: RNAcentral
UAAGGAAUAUUGCUCAAUGGGAGAAAUCCUGAAGCAGCAACGCCGCGUGGAGGAUGAAGGGUCUAUGACUUGUAAACUCCUGUAAAGAAGGAAAAAAUUCCCAUUUGAUGGGAGAUGAUGGUACUUCUGGAGUAAGCCCCGGCUAACUACGUGCCAGCAGCCGCGGUAAUACGUAGGGGGCAAGCGUUGUCCGGAUUUACUGGGUGUAAAGGGUGCUCAGGCGGAUGUGUAAGUCAGAGGUGAAAUCUUACAGCUUAACUGUGAAACUGCCUUUGAUACUGCAAGCCUAGAGUAUGGAAGAGNGUGAUGGAAUAUCUGGUGUAGCAGUGAAAUGCGUAGAUAUCAGAUAGAACACCAAUGGCGAAGGCAGUCACUUGGUCCAUUACUGACGCUCAAGCACGAAAGCGUGGGUAGCAAACA